This 235-nucleotide ribosomal RNA is filed under the name uncultured bacterium. RNAcentral's name for it is "partial 16S ribosomal RNA". It matches the Rfam family "Bacterial small subunit ribosomal RNA", at positions 402 to 656 of the family's 1533-position model. The record is from RNAcentral.
UGAAUGAUGAAGGUCUUAGGAUUGUAAAAUUCUUUCAGUGGGGACGAUAAUGACGGUACCCACAGAAGAAGCUCCGGCUAACUUCGUGCCAGCAGCCGCGGUAAUACGAAGGGGGCUAGCGUUGCUCGGAAUUACUGGGCGUAAAGAGUGUGUAGCGGUGUUCUAAGUCUGUUGUGAAAUCUCCCGGCUUAACUGGGAGGGUGCGGCGGAGACUGGGAUGCUAAGUAUGGGAGAG